Molecule: ribosomal RNA, 253 nt
Filed under: uncultured bacterium
Lineage: Bacteria
Description: partial 16S ribosomal RNA
Rfam family: Bacterial small subunit ribosomal RNA
Source: RNAcentral
UACGUAGGGGGCAAGCGUUGUCCGGAAUCAUUGGGCGUAAAGCGCGUGUAGGCGGCCCGGUAAGUCCGCUGUGAAAGUCGGGGGCUCAACCCUCGGAUGCCGGUGGAUACUGUCGGGCUAGAGUACGGGAGAGGCGAGUGGAAUUCCUGGUGUAGCGGUGAAAUGCGCAGAUAUCAGGAGGAACACCAAUUGCGAAGGCAGCUCGCUGGAACGUUACUGACGCUGAGACGCGAAAGCGUGGGGAGCAAACAGG